UACGGAGGGUGCAAGCGUUAUCCGGAUUUAUUGGGUUUAAAGGGUCCGUAGGCGGUCUAGUAAGUCAGUGGUGAAAGCCCAUCGCUCAACGGUGGAACGGCCGUUGAUACUGCUGGACUUGAAUUAUUGGGAAGCAACUAGAAUAUGUAGUGUAGCGGUGAAAUGCUUAGAGAUUACAUGGAAUACCAAUUGCGAAGGCAGGUUGCUACCAAUUGAUUGACGCUGAUGGACGAAAGCGUGGGUAGCGAACAGG
This 253-nucleotide ribosomal RNA is filed under the name uncultured bacterium. Its description in RNAcentral is "partial 16S ribosomal RNA". It matches the Rfam family "Bacterial small subunit ribosomal RNA", at positions 524 to 776 of the family's 1533-position model. The record is from RNAcentral.